AAGCACUGCUUUUGAACCUGAUGUGUCUUGUCUGUAGCUUCAUGGACCAUGCAACGGUGCUAGACAAUAAGGACUUAAUAUAACUGGGGCUCUUCAACUUUGAACUGCUUUUAAAAAAAAUAGCAUAAACA
Small nucleolar RNA from Artibeus jamaicensis (Jamaican fruit-eating bat), 131 nucleotides. NCBI's taxonomy places the organism in Eukaryota, Metazoa, Chordata, Mammalia, Chiroptera, Phyllostomidae. The record is from RefSeq and is a predicted model, not a curated record.